UACGAAUGGGGCAAGCGUUGUUCGGAAUCACUGGGCUUAAAGCGUACGCAGGCGGUUUAGCAAGUCAGAAGUGAAAUCCCAGAGCUUAACUUUGGAAUUGCUUUUGAAACUGCUGAACUAGAAUCCGAGAGAGGUUGGCGGAAUUCCGAGUGUAGAGGUGAAAUUCGCAGAUAUUCGGAGGAACACCAGUGGCGAAGGCGGCCAACUGGAUCGGUAUUGACGCUCAUGUACGAAAGCGUGGGGAUCAAACAGG
This 253-nucleotide ribosomal RNA is filed under the name uncultured bacterium. RNAcentral describes it as "partial 16S ribosomal RNA". It matches the Rfam family "Bacterial small subunit ribosomal RNA", at positions 524 to 776 of the family's 1533-position model. The record is from RNAcentral.